CAUCAAAGAUCGUAACAUUUUAAUUAAAAAUAUUGUUUAUGCAUUCGUCUGAAGAGAGGAUUGGUAUGAUUUUCAAAUUGUCUCUAAUUUUGUAAAAUUUCAAGUUUUUAAUUUACAUUUUAAUGAUACGAAUUUUCCGCCAAAAAUAUAACCAUCUAUCCCCAUUUAAGGAAAGAUACGACCUUUUUUUUACCGACGAACAUGACGUUUUAAACGAAAAUUUAUAAGAAUUAAUUUUUUUCAAUUCUCCUUAUGUUU
Non-coding RNA from Cinara cedri, 258 nucleotides. Lineage: Eukaryota; Metazoa; Arthropoda; Insecta; Hemiptera; Aphididae. The record is from the annotation of a GenBank genome assembly.